UGCGUGCAUAGUACUACUCAGGACGG
Molecule: non-coding RNA, 26 nt
Filed under: Mus musculus (house mouse)
Lineage: Eukaryota; Metazoa; Chordata; Mammalia; Rodentia; Muridae
Source: RNAcentral